This 48-nucleotide non-coding RNA is filed under the name Schistosoma haematobium. Lineage: Eukaryota; Metazoa; Platyhelminthes; Trematoda; Strigeidida; Schistosomatidae. The record is from RNAcentral.
AUUCAGCUGACGAGUCCUAAAUAGGAAGAAACACACGUUAAACUGAAU